Molecule: long non-coding RNA, 1665 nt
Organism: Astatotilapia calliptera (eastern happy)
Lineage: Eukaryota; Metazoa; Chordata; Actinopteri; Cichliformes; Cichlidae
Source: Ensembl
GAGGAGAGAUGGACAGCCUGCCCAACCAAUCGAAAUGCACAGGUCCCAGUAUGUUUUGACCAAUGGGAGAGCAGUCUGCCGCUGUAUGUCCCACCUACGUGCUCUGUGUUUGCUGCUAUGUGUGGAGGUAGUCGCGUGCUGGCAGGAGAAAAGAGAGACUGAAGCUUUUGAGCUGGAAAAAAGUAUUAGAUAUAAGUUGCAACCAACUGUGUUGCACAUAAGUUCACUGGUUAUCAGCUAACUUUCAUGUUAGAAGUAGCCGCAGUGAGUAAACAGGCAAAUGCUGCAUUUUUCUGGUGACUUUAGAAAGUACCACGUGGAGGUAAACUGUUAGCCUUUGUUAGCUCUGGUUGCUAUCAACUGCCUGGAAGUUCAUCUCAAUCUGCUUCCAGAAGCAAGAGCCCUGCAUUUUCCGACCGAGAGACACUAUGCCAUUGUCUUCGGCCGUGAUGCGCUGAGAUCGGUCAGGUUUUUUUUUGUAUGCUGAAUUGUUCCUGAGGUGGAUUCCUCCAGUGAAAUAGGAUUCCUCCAGUGAAAUAGAUGGCGAGCCUUCCCACCUGGACUUAGAGAGACUGAGAUUCGCUUCUUUUCCACUUGAUGAUCUGCUGCACCUUGCGGUGUGGUAGGACUGUAUCACUCACACUUUCACGCACAGCUGGUUAUACAUAAGACCACUGACUGACAUUCUUUCAUCCCUAUUUUCUUUCACACCCUGGGAAUUUUUUGGACUUUACCCCUUGGACAUUUUUUAUUUGGGACUUUAAAUAAUGAGCUGUUGUGUAGAGCAUUCUCCACAUGUGAAAAGAGUGUGAAAUUUUCAUUUGAAUGUACAUUGGAUUUGUGUAAUCUGUUUCUAUAAGAGUUAAGGAGUCAGGUUACUAGGGUGCACCCGAGCAUUGAAACCCAAACAUUGAAAACCAAAAAUAACACUUGGCCAAGUCAUUGCUUUAGUAGUUUGUGUUUUACUUUUCUUUUAAUUUUUGUAAGUUUCCUUUCUACCAUUGUAAAGUGUCUUUAACCUGUGCUUGUCAACCUUAUGGUUUAUGUCACUAAAGUUGGCUGGUUCUUUUGAGUUACAUUCUUGUCUCUGUGUCUCAUUUGAACACACCCCUGUGCUCCUAUAGUCGAGUCUAUUGGCCCAUUGAUAUAUUCUUUUCAACAAUUCCCCUUACUGUGUUACAUACACAUCUACUAUAGCCACAAUAAAAACAAGUAAUAAUUGCACUGAAAAUUAUAUCUAGUAUAUUAAAAUGGGUUUCAAUGGGGCAAAUAACAAAAACCUGCACUUUUCACUUGUUUCUACUGCACUGCAAACUUCUUGAAGUUUAAAAAGAGCACAAGAAACAAAAUGAAUAUAUACAAAAUGCUUACUAUUGGUGGAGCUCUCAGAAUGCUUUUUGUUACACAUGAAACAGUUGCCCAUUUUUAAUGUCCUCUCAUUUAGCAACACCUAUGCAGUACCUCAAGAGGGCACUGCUGAGCAACUUCUGAAUCAGCUGUUUAUGAGUGUACAGGCAUGUAUGUAGUAAGAAUAGAUUCAAUAUUCCUUAUUUACUACUGUUGUUGUUCUGUUUUGUUGAGAUAAGAUAAGAUAAGAUAAGAUACCUUUAUUAGUCCCACGAGUGGGAAAUUUCAUAAACCACUCUGCACAAAUCUGAACAGGAC